AUACGAGUUUGAUCAUGGCUCAGAACGAACGCUGGCGGCAUGCCUAACACAUGCAAGUCGAACGAAGCCUUCGGGCUUAGUGGCGCACGGGUGCGUAACGCGUGGGAAUCUGCCCCUUGGUUCGGAACAACAGUUAGAAAUGACUGCUAAUACCGGAUAACGACGAAAGUCCAAAGAUUUAUCGCCGAGGGAUGAGCCCGCGUAAGAUUAGGUAGUUGGUGGGGUAAUGGCCUACCAAGCCGACGAUCUUUAGCUGGUCUGAGAGGAUGAUCAGCCACACUGGGACUGAGACACGGCCCAGACUCCUACGGGAGGCAGCAGUGGGGAAUAUUGGACAAUGGGCGAAAGCCUGAUCCAGCAAUGCCGCGUGAGUGAUGAAGGCCUUAGGGUUGUAAAGCUCUUUUACCAGGGAUGAUAAUGACAGUACCUGGAGAAUAAGCUCCGGCUAACUCCGUG
This 456-nucleotide ribosomal RNA is filed under the name uncultured bacterium. Its description in RNAcentral is "bacterial SSU rRNA". It matches the Rfam family "Bacterial small subunit ribosomal RNA", at positions 1 to 507 of the family's 1533-position model. The record is from RNAcentral.